AUAAUACUCCCUCCGUUUCAUAAUUUUUGUCUCAAAUUUGUCCAAAAAUGGAUGUAUCUAUUUCUAAAAAGUGUCUAGAUACAUGUAAUAUUUCGACAAGAAUUAUGAAAUAGAGGGAGUAGAUA
Brachypodium distachyon (stiff brome) is the source of this 125-nucleotide non-coding RNA. Lineage: Eukaryota; Viridiplantae; Streptophyta; Magnoliopsida; Poales; Poaceae. The record is from Rfam.